RNAcentral lists this ribosomal RNA (253 nucleotides) under uncultured bacterium. RNAcentral describes it as "partial 16S ribosomal RNA". It matches the Rfam family "Bacterial small subunit ribosomal RNA", at positions 524 to 776 of the family's 1533-position model. The record is from RNAcentral.
UACGGGGGGGGCAAGCGUUGUUCGGAAUUACUGGGCGUAAAGGGCGCGUAGGCGGCGCGGUAAGCGUGCGGUGAAAGUCCGGGGCUCAACCCCGGAUCGGCCGUGCGGACUGCCGGGCUUGAGCACUGUAGGGGCGGGUGGAACUCCGGGUGUAGCGGUGGAAUGCGUAGAGAUCCGGAAGAACACCGGUGGCGAAGGCGGCCCGCUGGGCAGUGACUGACGCUGAGGCGCGACAGCGUGGGGAGCAAACAGG